UCAAAAACAGUUCCGGAGAAUACUAACUUUGGAAGUUAGAGGAUGAUUAAAGUCAUUUUUGAA
Molecule: transfer RNA, 63 nt
Filed under: Elysia timida
Lineage: Eukaryota; Metazoa; Mollusca; Gastropoda; Plakobranchidae
Description: tRNA-Pro
Source: RNAcentral